RNAcentral lists this ribosomal RNA (458 nucleotides) under uncultured bacterium. RNAcentral describes it as "partial 16S ribosomal RNA". It matches the Rfam family "Bacterial small subunit ribosomal RNA", at positions 338 to 795 of the family's 1533-position model. The record is from RNAcentral.
CCUACGGGGGGCAGCAGUGAGGAAUAUUGGUCAAUGGGCGAGAGCCUGAACCAGCCAAGUCGCGUGAGGGAGUACUGCCCUAUGGGUUGUAAACCUCUUUUGUCGGGGAGCAAAAGCCGGACGUGUCCGGCUGUGAGAGUACCCGAAGAAAAAGCACCGGCUAACGCCGUGCCAGAAGCCGCGGUAAUACGGAGGAUGCGAGCGUUAUCUGGAUUUAUGGGGUUAAAAGGGUGCGCAGGCGGAAUGUUAAGUCAGCGGUCAAAUCGUGGGGCUCAACCCCAUCCAGCCGUUGAAACUGGGGAUCUUGAGUGUGCGAGAGGUAUGCGGAAUGCGGGGUGUAGCGGUGAAAUGCAUAGAUAUCACGCAGAACCCCGAUUGCGAAGGCAGCAUACCGGUGCACAACUGACGCUCAGGCACGAAAGCGUGGGUAUCGAACAGGAUUAGAUACCCGGGUAGUC